UACGGGGGGGGCAAGCGUUGUUCGGAAUUACUGGGCGUAAAGGGCUUGUAGGUGGCCAACUAAGUCAGACGUGAAAUCCCUCGGCUUAACCGGGGAACUGCGUCUGAUACUGGAUGGCUGGAGUGUGGGAGAGGGAUGCGGAACUCCAGGUGUAGCGGUGAAAUGCGUAGAUAUCUGGAGGAACACCGGUGGCGAAGGCGGCAUCCUGGACCAUUACUGACACUGAAAAGCGAAAGCCAGGGGAGCAAACGGG
This 253-nucleotide ribosomal RNA is filed under the name uncultured bacterium. Its description in RNAcentral is "partial 16S ribosomal RNA". It matches the Rfam family "Bacterial small subunit ribosomal RNA", at positions 524 to 776 of the family's 1533-position model. The record is from RNAcentral.